This 931-nucleotide long non-coding RNA is filed under the name Phasianus colchicus (ring-necked pheasant). Its description in RNAcentral is "lncRNA (ENSPCLG00000019965.1)". The record is from RNAcentral. Lineage: Eukaryota; Metazoa; Chordata; Aves; Galliformes; Phasianidae.
UCUGACAUGUGGUUUCUUUCAUAAAAGAUAUAUCCAAAAGAUAAAUUUCUUUAUGCAUACGUGUUAAGAACUUUUGGUUUUGAUUUUUUUUUUUUUUUUUUUUAGUUAGCGGGACCAUUGACAUUUCUGGAACCUAAGAGAAGGGAACACAUUACAUUUUCCAUGUUAGAAGCAGAGUAACUUCAGAUUCACAGUUGCUGGUGAGCUCUGGUUGCAGCGAGGAUCUGGAGAACACGUUCUAGCAAUUGGGAAGUCCUGCGGCAGCGUGUCCACCCUGUAGAUGAGGUCUCCAAAGUUGCUGCAAACAGGUCCAGCCUUUUUACCACUGAAUGACCAGAUCUAUGUAUCAGUCAGGGAAUCCAUGCUGACUGGGAUAACAGAGAUGACAGAUUUUCAGGGCUGGCCAGACAGUCAGGUUCAGUCUACCAAAAACUACUGUGUGUCAUCUGCAGUUGCUACUUACAAAAAGCUGGUUUGAGUUUUUCUUUUUUUUCUUUUCUUUUUUUCCCCUUAAAAAAAAAAAAAAAAAACUAUUAUUCUUCACUGGAAAGAAAUAAUGUGGUAUUGACAGCCUUUUCCAGGACAUAUUGCUGCUUAGGAGAAACUGAUGCAGCUGGAGUGACUUAAGCAGAUAGUCUGGGAGCAGCACAAGCAGCUUAUAAGCAGCUUCUAAAAUGUGACAGUACAAAGAAAAUGCAUAAUGUCUGUGCAACAGCUGUAGGAAAUGAUAUGUGAGAUUCCAUGUUCACUAUGUAUCCCAAACAUUAAAGAGAACAAUUUAAUGUUAACAAAGAACAUGAAAGCAGCACGCUUACAAAGUAUAGUCUUGCUGCUGUGGCAUUAACUGCACAAGCUGUGUCAACAAAGGAUUGCACAGUUAGAACAGUAUAAAUAGAUUUUGUACUGUAAUUUAUUUUUCUGUAUUUUUUUU